RNAcentral lists this long non-coding RNA (14963 nucleotides) under Capsicum annuum. Its description in RNAcentral is "long non-coding RNA (CANN_LNC013342)". The record is from RNAcentral. Lineage: Eukaryota; Viridiplantae; Streptophyta; Magnoliopsida; Solanales; Solanaceae.
CUUUUUGUUAUUUUAGCAGCAAUAUUUGUAUUUAUUUUUCUCACUUACCUCAGAAGAGAGAUAUCUUAAUUUAGGAUGAACGAGAUCGAAGUAAGUCAUACGUUGCUGGGUCUUAAAAUAAUUACUUAGUAAAGAAAAGCAAUUACCAAUGGUGAAAGAGUUGUGGCAAGGAGACUUAGAAGAAGGCCUUCACCAGGUUUAUGCACCAAAAGUUCGGAGAAUCGAUUCGUGUAGAGAUAUCCCAAAUGGAAUCCCCAUGGGGAAAAAUCGGGAAGGUUCCAGUGUGGGGUCCUGACAACUACCGUGCAUGGACGUUCAAUCCCUGCGUAACUUUAAUACAUUAGUGCAAAUUAACAACCCAAGAAUAUAAUCAAACUGAUGGUUUAUAAACAAACAAUGAAGAGGUAGAAUUAAUUAAGGAACUUGCCAUAUUUAACCGUAGAGCACUCCAUGGCAAUGUCCAUUAUUUCUGAUUUUUGAAAUCCAACUACAGCUACAUGUUUUCCUUUGACAAAGUUGGUUGCAGUUUUGGGUUCCAUUUUGGAAUAAUCCAUUGAAUGGAUUACUUCACCCUCAAAAGCUUCAGGGCCUUUGUUCCCAGGAAAUUCUGGUAUGUUUGGAACUCGGCUGAACCUUCCCAUGCAAACUAUUACAAAAUCAACUUGAUAUACCUGCAAUUUCAAUUUUCAACCAACCAUGAGACAUUCAUUAUAUUGAUUAUUGAUCGUUAAACUGACCGGUCAAACCCCAUAUAAUUAACAGUACAACUUUCGCAUGCAAACCAACAAAAAUCAUUGAUUAACGUCGUAAAAAUAAUUAAUUCGUACUAGAUAGUCUUUCUCCUAGAUCUUAGAAAUCGCUUUAUUUGUGUAUUUCUCGUUUUCAUAAGGUUUGUAUUCUACUAAUAAUUGGGGAGGUUAUAUUAUAACAAUUUUAAUUAACACCGAUUGUCUCUCUUGCUCUUACAGUCAGUUUGGUCAAGCGCGCGGCUGGGCUGUUGCACUGCCCAGAUCGAACCCAAUAACCGUGGAACUUGAAUUAGUUCACUCUUUUAACCUCCAACCUGUUGAACAGGUAAAAGGGCCUUGGUGUCCCAAAACCUCCAAUGCUACUCUCUGACUCUCGAACGCGACUGGAUCAAAUCCUUUGGAAAUUGCAUAUUUGCAUUCCAAGAUCGAGGCCGCUAUAUCUAUCACCUCCUUCUUUUUGCUUUCUCUGCCAUUGCUACUGCUAUUUUUUUUCCUUUCUGAAUAUACUAUAAUAAUAUGCCCGGAUGAUGGGUUUCAUUCAUACAUAGAUAAGUAGAGAGUUUGAAUUGCCCUCUAUAUAUCUAGUCUAUAUAUAUAAUAAAAAAAAAAAGUUAGCCUAAAAUUAAGCCAAGUGGCAUAUUGAGAACUAGCCACUUGGUAUUUUGACAACAAAAAUCUAUUUUGUUGGCAACAAAAUUUAUUUUGGUGAAUAAUCAAUUAAUUACUAUGACCAAAAAGUCAUUCCAAAAUAAAAAAUAUUUCAAUAGAGAUGUCAUUCCUUAAAAUAUAUGAAAAAUAUUAUGAAAAAGAUGUUAUCCCUCAAAAAAUAUACACAAUUAAUUUAAAUAAUAAUAUUAUUUAAAAAAUAUUUAUGAUUUUACUAAAAUUUAGUAAAUCAAGAAAGUAUUACCAAAAAAAUCAAUUAGAGAAUAACUAAUUAAUAAUCAAGUAACUUAUAUGAAAAAGAUUAUUGUCACAAAUGAGUCCUUUCAAAAUUAAAAAUAUUAUAAAAAAUAUGUCAUCACUCAAAAUGUGUAUAUAAUUAUUUUAAGUAACAAUAUUAUAUAAAAAGAACAUUUAUGAUUUGAUUACAAUUGACUCAAUCAAGAAAGUAUCAAGAAAUAUCAAUUAAGAGAAUAACCAAUUAGGAAUCAAACAACUUAUAUGGAAAAAAAAUAUAAUAAUCAAAGAGUUAUUCCAAACUUAAAAAUAUUAUGAAAAAGAUGUGAUCACUCAAAUGGUAACUUUGAUCUACAAAAUGGAAGAAAUUUAUUUCAAUAUAUUUCAAGAAAUUUUAUUUAAAAAAUAUGCAUUCAUAUUUAUUGGGAGAAUUUUUAUUUGAUAUAUUUUAAGUAAUCUAUAUUUAAAAUAAUAUGCAUUCAUAUUUAAUGAAAUGAUUUUCAUAUUUAAGAAUAACUAUCAAUGAGUAAUUACACUGUCAUUCCAUAUUAGGAAAUAAAUAAAUGAUAGUCUUGGAUUUAAAAGGAGGGUAAAUUGAAAAUAAAUAAAUAUUGAAUUUUUUCUAAAAUGAAUAUUACUACACAGAAAAGAUUGCAUAAUGUUUAUCAAAAAUAACUACUAAAAUUACAUAGUCCUAAUUAAUAUUCGAAGUCAAAUAAAAUUUUGCUUUACCAAGUUAUUCUUUAAUUGGCCAAUUAAUGUCUGUAACAAUAAUUUCAGAUUUUAAAAUAAUUAAAUAUUAAAAAAAUACUUUGUUUUGAUGAACAAAAAUUAAUUUAAAAAGAUUAAAUUAUCUUAUAUAAAAAUUUAAAUAUGCAGGUCAAUAAAAUGAAUUAGGAAUAAAUAUUUCUUAAUAAUAAAAAUAUCAAUAAAAAUUUAUAAUAUUUUUAUUUGAUAAAAUAUAGGUGUGAGUUACUAAUAAAUUAGAAUAUAUGCAAUUGAAAUAUUAACAUAAAAUAAAUAUUUAUAUAACAAAAAGAAUUUAUGAUUUCAUUCAAUGUAAGUCAAUUAAGGAGGCAUGACAAAAUUGAUUUUGAAAUAUAAAUAGAAAAUGAAUAAUCAAUUAACAGUUAUAUACGUAUAUAUGGAAAAGAAUAUUGUACCAACUGCAAUUAAUCUAGGAGUUCUAAUGUCAUAAUAAUUUACCACUGUAUAAGAAGGCUACACUCAGUAAAAGCUAAUUAAUUUUUGCAAUAACAUGUUGGAGAAGAUGAAUUGUGCAAGUGAUUUCUGCCACAACUUAUCUUGUUGUGAUAAUCACUAGAAUCUCAAUUUACAGUGAGUAUUAUUUUAGAAUAAAUUUUUUUUGAUUUAUCAAGUCAACUAAAUAUAGAGGUUAUGUCACAUAAUUUUUUUUUCUACAUGUUUGGUGAAAAUUUUAUAAGCCAGUAUUCAUGUACUUUAUGUUUUAUAAAAAAUAUAAUUUGUAUUCUUUGAAAAUUUAAGUUAGUGAUCUUUUAAUAUGUCAUACAUUUUUAAAGACUUAUAAAAAUUUAUCUUGGUCAAAAUGUACAAUGAGAAUUUUAGCAAUAACAUAAAAAAUUACAAGUUAUACAUUAAAGAUGAAGAAACUAAUAUUGAUAUUAGAUAGUUGAUUUUCUUGCAUUGCAAGUAUUGUUGCUUUAGAUUUUAGUGAGAUAAUAAUAUGAUUUCAAAAAUUAAUAAACUAUGAUACUAAAUUACUAAUCCAUUAUAUUUCUAUUUAUUAGUAUUAACACUUGAUUUGUCUAUACUAUAUUUCUAUAUGUUAUGAUUAACAAUUAAUUUAUAAUUUAGAUUGCGUGAUUUUAAUAGUAUAUUAAAAGUUUUGUGAUAUUGUAUUAGGAUUAGGAAUGAUAGUUAAGUGACCUUAGUAAGUAAAUGGUAGUUGUAUAACUACGUAUGAAAUUUACCCGAUAGUAAAAUUACUAUCUCAAAAGUUAUAUAUCGAAGAUCAAAAUUUGGGUGAGUAUCUCGUGGCCGAUGCUCAAUGGGCAAUACUCAAAUUCAAUAAAUCAAAUACUUAUGAAUAUUGCUUUUUUCAAAUUCAUUAUAUUUAAAUUCUUACUGCAAAUAUUAUUGUACUUUUACGUAGCAUAUUGUGCUAAUGGGAAAGUAAAGGUCAUUUAUCAUUUGUUAUUUAUAAACAUUAUGCUACAAAUGUCUUAUUUUUUUGUUUUAGUUGAUAUAAACAGACAAUGAGUUUAAUCAUGUUUAUAUUUAUAUUUGUAACUCCAAUUUUAAAAUAUUGUAGAUAUUUUAGUGUAAUAAUUAUUUUGAUCUACUUUGUACAAUAUAAAGGAUAAAGAUGAAUAAGAUUAAUAUCUUAUUGUACUGAUGAACACGGUAGUGAUUUCAAUAAGAUAUUAAUAGAGUUGGUCCGAAUUCAAUUUCGGUAGUGAUUAAUAUUUAUAAUUUUAUUCAAAUUGAGUAAAUUGAGAAAGUAUGAUAGGCACUACCAAAAAUUCGUCAUUUAGCCACGGUUUAUUAGCCACGAUUAUAAAAACCAUGGCUAAACUAAAUAAAAAAUGAAAGUUUUUUUACACUUUAAAAAGUGUGGCUAAAUAACCAUAGCUAAUAGAGGCGGGUAAAUAUAUUUUUAUUUUCCUCCCUAUUUUUUUUAUUUGUCCCAAAAAUACUAAAGUCCCACCUCUACAGAAUUUUCAACUAAAAGAAACAUUUCCCCCCAAUAUAUUGUACGCUUAGAUUUCCCAAAAUGCAAAUCGCGUCUUUCUCUUGAGGUUUUUGGAAAUUUAUUUCUUCGUCAAUAUUUGUAGCUUCGAUAGCAGCAGAAGUAGAAGUACUUCGAUUGCAACAACAGAGGUAAUAAAUCUUUGCAAUUUAUUAGUUUUAAGGUUAAAAUUGAAAAUAAGGUUCAAUAUUUUUCUUGUUUACUGAAGUUUUGAGCUUAUAAAAAUUGUAAUUUGAUGUGUUUUGUGAAUUUUCUAGUUGUUAUGAAUGAGAAUUUUGAUGAUUUUGAUGGGUUGAGUUUUCUAGUUCUCAAGAAUGAAAAUUAGAUUUGAAUUUUAUGAAGUCUGUAAUUUUGAUGAGCUUUUGUUGGUGUCUCCGUCGUCAUUCAUGAACUACAAUGGAUUGUUGUUUGCCGCAUAUAAUGUUACAAGUUGUUGCCCCAUUUCUUGUUGUACAUGAUUACUGGUUUGAAAUUAUUUUAAAAGCUUCGACAACAAAAAUUUGAUGCAAAUGGAUCAUUUAUGCAAAUGGUGACGAGGGACUUCUUCAUUUAUGCAAAUGGGUCAAGUGAAUAUGAUAAGGAAAGUAGAUCAAGUAAAUUGGUUCACCUAGAAUGUUGAAUAAACGAUGUGUGCUCUUCAUUUUCUGGGUGAUUUUCCUUUCAUAUCUUUCUUAUUUUAUGGAUAUUUUCCAAAUAGGUUCUCUUUAGUCUUUAUUGCCAUUGAUCCUCGUUGAUGAUAGUAUUUUUAAUUUUUGUGAUAGAUUUGUAGUUUGCUGUAACUUUGUUGAUUUUAAUAAUUCUGUCAACAAUAGGGACUAGUUGCUAAUAUUGCUUCAAUACAGUAUGAUUGACAAGAGUUGGAUUCGGAAGCCAAUUAAAUCAAAAGAAUUCUCAGAUGGUGUAGUCCAAUUUUUAAACUUUGUCUUUUCAAAAGUGUCUGUAGAUGGAAAAAUUUCAUGCCCUUGUACUACAUGUGGAUUUUUUGUUAUGCUUAAUAGAACUGAAGUAUUUAAUCAUCUUCUUCAAAAGGGAUUUCCAAAAAAGUACACAUGUUGAUUGAUGCAUGACAAAAAGCGUGUAGUUUCUAAUGUAGCAUCAACAUCCAGAUUACAAUUUGAGUCGGUUAGAAAAUAUCCGAUGCAAGAUAUGUUGAAUGAUGCUUUUGAUGUGUUUGAUGAUAAUAAUUUUUAAGAUUCUGGUCCAUCAAAUUUAUCAGAUAAUGACCAUCAUUGGGGUGCUGAAGAUCAAAGUCAAGAAGAGAGAUAAAAUUAAGGAGGAGUUAGAGGAUGGUAAUUAACAACUUUAUGAUGGUUGUGAAAAAUAUAGUAAAUUGUCAUUCAUUGUUCAUCUUUAUCAUAUUAAGGUCUUAUGUAGUGCAAUCGAUAAAACAUUCUCAAUGAUUCUUGACCUGUUAAAGGAUGUUUUUCCCCAUGCAAAACUACCAUCAUCAUUUUAUGAGUCAAAAAAAUGAUCAAAAGGUUGGGUGAGCUAUGAUAAGAUUGAUGUAUGUCCGAAUCAUUGCAUGUUAUACUGGGGAUCAUUCGAGGAUAUGAAUAGAGAUAAGUGCAAAAAGUACAAUACUUCUAGGUAUAUAUCAGAUGACAAUAAUGUUGGUACAAAUGCUGAAAUUGAUGACCAACAGAAGAGGAAGCUAAAGCCAUCAAAAGUGUUGUGGUACUUCCCACUUGUACCUAGAUUGAGAAGGUUAUACGUGUGCUCCAAAACUGCAGAACUAUUGAAAUGGCAUGCUACAAAGGCUAAUCCAGAUGGUUUACUACGGCAUCCCAGAGAUGGCAAAUCAUGAAAAUAUUUUGAUUCAUUCUAUCCCGAUUUUUCUUUAGAAACUCGUAAUAUGCGAUUUGCUUUAGCUACGGAUGAUUUCAAUUCAUUUGGGAAUCUAAGCUCUACUGUUAGCAUUUGGCCUGUGAUGUUGUACAUUUAUAACUAUCCUCCAUAGUGUUUUAUAAAGCAAACUUCUCUUAUCAUGUCGAUGAUAAUUCCUGGUCCUAAAAUGCCUGGUAACAACAUUGAUAUUUACUUAAAACCUUUAGUUGCUGAGUUGAAUCAGUUGUGGAAAGGUGUGAGUGCUUAAGAUUCCUCAACUAAGAAAAUGUUUUGAUUGCGUGCUACGUUAAUGUGGACCAUAAGCGAUUUUUCAGGUCUUGACAACUUGUCUGGAUGAAAUACACAUACAUUAUUUGCUUGUCCAUCAUGUAACUUUAACACAGAUUCUACGAGACUUAAGUUUGGUAGAAAAAAUUAUUUUAUGGGACAUCGUCGGUAUUUGCCACAAGAUCACAAAUAUAGGUACAACAAACAGUCCUUUAAUGGUUUUGAGGAGCAUAUACCUGCGCCUAUUCCACCAUCAGGUUCAACCUUGCUAAGGAAAAUUGAGGAGAGUCGAAAGAGGCCUUGAGAUGAUGGUACAAGUGAGAUCGGUGCCGAACAAUGAAAGAAAAAAAGUAUCUUCUGGAAUUUAGAAUAUUGGGAGAAUCAACUUAUUCAUCAUUGUUUUGAUCCAAUGCACAUAGAGAAGAACGUUUGUGAUAAUGUAUUGUUUACUAUACUUGGUAACAAAAAAAAUCAAAAGACAAUUUGCAGGCCCAUAAAGACUUGCAAGAAAUGGGAAUUAGAGAAAAGUUUCAUCCAUAUCCUAAUUCUUCUAAGUUUCCUUCAUCGUGCUUUACCAUGAAGAAAGAGAAGAAAGAUAUCUUCCUAAAAGUUUUAAAAAAUGUUGUGUUUCCUGAUAACUAUGCAUCAAAUAUUUCUAGAUGUUUUGAUAUCAAAAAAUGCAAAAUCUCCAAUUUAAAGAGUCAUGAUUCCCACAUUUUGAUGGAGCAUCUUUUAUCAAUCGCUUUUAGAAGAUCUCUUCCUAAAGAAGUUGCUUCAUUGUUGAUUGAGUUAUGUAACUACUUUAGAGAAGUAUCAAGCAAGGUUUUAGAUGUUAAGUAUAUAGAGAAACUCCAACAACGAAUUUGCUUGAAUCAUUGUAAUAUGGAAGUGAUAUUUCCUCCAUUUUUUUCACUAUUAUGAUUCAUCUAGUUAUUCAUAUUGGAGAGGAAGCAAUUCUUGCUGGUCCUGUACAAGGUCAUUGGAUGUACCCAACUGAAAGGUAUAUUCUUUACUUAUUAAGUUGAUAUAUUUUUAAUUUUUUUAAUUCUUACAAUUAGUUUUAAUAUAUUAUCAGGGUACUUGGUCAUUUGAAAUCGUAUGUUCGAAACAAUUCCGCAGCAGAAGGUUAUAUAGCUAAAGGGUCUGGAAGAGUGCCUCACUUUUUGUUCUAGAUAUUUGGAGGAUUGUGAAAUUAAAACAAGGUUUAAUCGACCAAGACGUAAUAAUGAUGACAGUGAGAUUGCUGCUACUAGUGAAUAUGGUAUCUUGUCAAAGUUGUUUCCUGCAAUAGGCAAGUCUGUUGGGGCCAUUAAGACUCUACCCAUACCUUCAGUGAAAAUCAUACAAGCUCACCGAUAUGUGCUAAUUAAUUGUGAAAUAGUUGAUGCAUUUUGAGAGUACGUUACUUGGUACUUUAUAUUUUUCUUUUCUUAUUCUAACAUAUUUGCAUACCUUAAUGUAUUAAUUACAACUACUUUCAGGGAGUUUAGAAUUGAGGUGACUAGAAUGCAUCGUGGUAAAAGAAAUUCUUCAAAACUUGUGGAAGAAUAUGUGCACAAAUACUUUCAUGAGUAGUUUAAGGAAUAUGUAAGAUUUCAGAUAUUUCAUUCCAUUUUGAACUCAAAAUAUCAUAAAAGUAUAUGUAAUUAUCCUAUUAUUUUGAAAUAAUAGGUUGCACGUCAGGAUGGUGCAAACAUUAUUUCAAAAAUUCAAUGGCUUGCACGUGGGCCAAAUAAUGUUGUAAGGAGAUUCAAGGAGUAUAAUAUUCAUGGAUUUAAGUUUCGUACUCUGAGGAAAGAGCAUGGAUUGAAAAUACAAAAUAGUGGUGUUGUUAUGUCUGCUCUUACUAAGAGAUUUUCAAAUGGUAGAGAAUCUGUUGAACAAUCAAGUGAUGAUAUGUACUAUGGUAAAUUGCUUGACAUCAUAGAGUUAAAUAAUUAUGUCAAGUUAAAGGUUGUGUUAUUCAAAUGUAUUUGGGUAGAUACUACACUUAACAAAGGAAUCAAGAUAGAUCAAUUUGGGAUAACAAGUGUAAAGUUUUUCCAUUUGAUACACACUGGUGCAAAAGAAAUAGAUGAACCAUUUAUACUUGCAACUGAUGCUAGAAUAGUGUACUAUGUUGAUGAUCCAAUUGAUGAAGAUUGGUGUGUUGUUUGUCAUAUGAAGUCGAGGGACAUAUAUGAUAUGGGAGAUGUGGAUUUUAUGGAUUUAGAGGAGCCAGAUUUAGAGGAUCCAUUAAUGGAGGACACACCUUUUUGUGAGCAACUUUUGAAAAAUAUUGAAGACUUACCAUUAGUGCGAGAUGAUCCCGAUGGACAACAUCAAGAUGAACCUACUUAUGAUGAUUAUGAAAGUGAUAGUAAUGGAGAUGAUGAUAAUGACAGUGAUGGGGAUGAUGAAGGAAUUUUAGAUUAGUUUAAUUCCCCUAUUAUGAAAUUGAAGACUUACAAUUAAGAUGCAUGUUUUGUUAAUUUUUUUUCACCUUUUUAUUGAAUGUCUUAUAGUUCUAUUUUAAUUAAUUGUGGUUAUUGAUUUCUCCUUAUUUCAUCCUGCAUUACCUCUUACCUCCUUUAUUAUUGCUCUCUCCUAUGGUUCAUAUUGUAUAUAUUUUUAAAUAAUGAGGUUAUGCAGACUUUAUUUAUAGCUUUGGAUGAUUACUCUAGAGAUAACAGAAGUGAUGUUGGUUCUUGGGUUCGUGAGGCUGUCAUGGAUGGCCUUGAGAGAUGCACAUAUACUCUAUGCAAAAGAGGACUCAAGUACUUCUCAAGCAAGUCAGAACAAAUGGAACUUAGAUCUGUUCCUCAGUCGGUAUAUCUGUAAUGGUCAUAGCUUGUGCAUGUGCCCUUGGUCUUGCUACUCCAACUGCCGUCAUGGUUGGCACAGGAGUUGGUGCUUCUCGAGGUAUCUUGAUUAAAGGUGGGUAGGAUUUGGAAGGUGCACAAAAGGUAUGCACGGAUUUUUUUUAACUACGCAUCCAGAAAUGCCAUAUCAUAAAAAAUUAACUUUGAUAUUGAUAACAAACCAUCUGUUUUUGUAGGUGAAUUGUAUAGUGUUUGAUAAGACAGGGACCUGAUAAUGGGCAAACCAGUUGUUGUAAACACAAAGCUUUUCAGAUCUAUGGUACUUUGAGAAUUUUACGAAUUGGUUGCGGCAGUUGAGGUAUAUCUAAGUCUGGUUUAGACUUCUUGAAUGCAUUAUCACAAUUACCAUCCCCUGUUGUGUGGUGUAUUUUUUUCCUAAUGAAUGCCCUACUAGUUCUUUCACUCUUAUUAACUUAGUUAUGUUUCCGUUGCCCCAACAGAGCAACUUAGUUGAUAAAGUUUCGGACUUUGAGGAGAUAUAUGUUUGGUAUUACAAUAUAGAAUGGGUUUUACUUCAAAGGCUUUGUCCAUUGACUGUGUUCAGAUGAAACUGCUUUCUCUUCUGUUGGUUUCUUGCCUAUUUAGUUAUGAAAGUGAAGUGUUUUCAGUUUUGUUAGAUCUAUAUAAACUUAUCCAUCCUUGAGCCGAGGGUCAACCUCUCUACCAUUGAGGUAGAGAUAAAGUUGGCGUACAAUCGAACCUUCUUCCUUGAACACCCGUUUGCGGGAUUAUACUGGUAUGUUGUUGUUGUUGUUGUAUAAUCUUACCCGAAAAUGGAAGUGCGAAAGAUAUUACUAAGAAAAUUGAAGCUUAGUUUAAAAAAAAUUGGUUAAGUACUCAAAUUCCAACUAACUUUCAUCUUCUUGGAAAUAUUACUUUCUGUUUGUAGUUGGGCUAAAUGGUCCUAUUUUGCUCUUUUAUCUUCUUGGAAACAUUACUUUUCUUAUACACGUUGUCCCAAAGAUGUUAAAAACUCAAUAUUCAUGAUAAUACAAUAUAUUCUUGUAAAAUUUUGAUUAAAAAGGAAAAAUGAAACUUGUACAAGUAUAGUAAUUAAUAUAACUUGAUUUUUGGUUACCCCCAGUUCCUGCAUAUUAGACCAUGUACUAGUACUUUUGUUAUCUUAGUAUUUUAGUCCAAGAUAACUUAUGUCAUGACCCUAAUGCAUAAAGGUUUAUUUAAGAUUAGAAGCAAUUGUGAUCAUUUACUCCUGGAGAUGUAGAUUCUAAGCACUUGUUCUCGGGAAACAUUUUUAUGAUCAAUCUGGAAAACUUUUGUCUCUUCUACAUACAUCAUUGGCCUUUACUGGUUUGGUGUCUCUAUUUUUCAUUGCUCUUGGAGUGUUAUUUUUUUUUUAAAAAAUCCUCACCUAUGUUGGCCACAAUGAGUUUCUUAUUGUACUGUUAUUUUUAGCUUUAUGUUUCCUACUUGCCCGAAAAUACAGCCUGGUUCGUCCACCAUAAAAAUCUUGAUAGCUCAAGCAGUAUAUCUCGUCAGCGUGUUGAAGACCUUGAGAAACAAGUAAAAACCUUGAAAGAAAAGCUAACCGGAUAUGAAGAGACCAAAGAAAAGCUUGUGCAAAAUAAGAAUCACUUGGCAACUCUUCAUAGAUUCUUACAAUCUAAAUUUGGUAGUGAAUUGCCUACUUUGAACUAAUCUUCUUAGCCUUUAGAAUAUUUUAGAACAAACGAUAGAUAUGGUGUUUCUUUAACUUCUAACAUUACUCAUUAUGAUUAUCUUUUAUGAAUAUUUAAGGUUUGGACUUUAACUUUUGUGACAAUAUAUUGAACAAUAAAAAGAUUUUGAUAAUUAUGUUUCAAUCUUGUGUAUGAUGGUCAAUUUAUAAGUGAACGUCUAUCAUUAUUCAGGAAUUAGUAUCAGGCAAUCCGCGUAUUUAAAAAGAAAACAAUUACAAUAUAUAUAUAUAUAUAUAUAUAUAUAUAUAUAUAUCUUGGCUCUUUUUCCACGAUUUUAAUAUAUAUAUAUAAAUAGCUUGGCUCUUUUGCCACGAUUUUAUAAGCAAAAAAUAUUUUUUUUUAAAUCUGGACAUUUUAGCCACGGUUUUUAAUAUGCAAAAAAUAAAUAUUUACUUUUUGCCACGGUUAGAACUGUAGCUAAUUUAUAUGCAAAAUAUUUAAUUCUUAAAAAAUGGAUAUUUUUCCACGGUGCAAACCGUGGCUAAUUGAUAUGAUAGCAAAAUAAUCAAAAAGUUUAACCAUGGAAAGACCGUGGCUAAAUGCAUCAGGAAACCGUGGCUAAUAAAAUGUUACCACGGACAGUAAAAACGUGGCUAAUUUACUCGCCACGCCCCUGUUGGACAUACUUGUAACCGUGGCUAACAAACCGUGGCUAAACUAUUUAGCCACGAUAUAUGUACCAUAUAGCCACGAUUUUGCACGUGGCUAAAAUGCAUUUUUUUUGUAGUGAGGGUUGAUCGAAAAUAGAGUUGAAGCGUGAAUAUUCAAACCUAUGAAGGACUAAAACAUUUUUUUGAAAAAUAAUAUACAAUAAGAUUUAUUAAUAUUUGUUGGUCCAUUAUCAUAAGAGAAUAAGUGAAUAUUUUGAAAUCGUGCAAACAAGUUAGGACUUAAAAUAAUGUCAUAAGUUAUUUAUUGAAAAAAUGGUAAUAAUAAAAUAUGAGAGAGGAAAAAUUGACUAUUAUUGAGACUUUGCUCAAAAUAUUUUCCUUGACGGAAAAUAUUUUAAAUUUAUAAAAAAUAUGCUAUGACUAAGAUCGUGCAAAGGAAUACAAAAUUUACUUCUAAAGAAAAAUCUAUUAAGACAAGAAAAGAUAUGGGGAAACUCCUUUCUUCCUUUUGAUAAGAGGGCGUAAAUUAAAAUAUAUUUAAUAUAAAAAAAUUUAAAUUUCAAGUUAAAAUUUUACAGAGAAGCCUCGUGUGCAUAACUCUAAAACAUGUCUUUCAUUAGUUCUUUGUUUUUCUAACCAAAUUUAGAAGUAAGUCACUUAACUAAUAAUAAUUAUGUUAAAUAUGCAUUUUCUUUUGUAAUUAUAUGAUUUUUUUACAAAAUAAAUCAAUAGAGAUCACAAUAUUAUCUAAUAUUCUCAAAUAAUUAUAUUACGAUAUAAUAUUAUUUGCACACUGAUGAUAACCUUCGAAAAGAAAUGUUUAAAUUUUAUGAGAUUAAUAAUAUUAAGUUUAAUAUUUUAAUAGUUAUUUUUCGUAUUGCAUAAAUUUAUUAAUUUCAAAUAUGCGAAUGAUAUUGAAUAAAUUUUUUAUUAUAUAAAAUCAAUAAGAUAAUAAUUUCUAUAAUUAAUUUUAUUUAAUAUUGACCGCGCAUCACGCGGGUACUAAUACUAAUACUAGUUACUAUAUAAAUAGCCAAUGACAGGGAGAGGAAGAUGAGAUAUCUGAUUGCUAGGAUCUGCUUUCAAAUCUUUACCAUAUCUGGGUUUUGCCUUUUCUGGAUGAAAGUGACACGAGUUUAAUAGUUUUCUUAAUUUGUUGAUAAGUACACUUUGUCCUUGUUGACCUGACCUAAACUAACCAAUUAUUCUGAUGUUUUGGGAGUCCAAAUUUGACUUAUCAUGGCUGAAACUUACGUAUGACAAUACUUAACAAUUGAAAAAAGUUAAUUUCAGGAAUAUGUGAACAUGAACAGUGAUAGAAUAUGAAUGGUUGAUCCAUGCUACAGAUCAAGUGGAUUUUCUGUUAGUAAAGGACAAGGCUUUAAAUCUGCAUGCAGCGUCUCUGUACGUUGAGCUGCUACAUAUAUAGCUAGCUAGAUCAUUUUUUCCUUGUAUUUAAUUUUAUUGAAUUAUCUCUUUAUAAGUCUCGUCGAGAAAUGACAGAAAGAAAGAAAUGACAACAUGCACAGUGAAUUUCUUUUGCAGACCAAAUAGGCACCUAACAACAUAAUACAAAAAUCCGUCAGUUCUAUUAAUUAAAACUACACAGCCAAAAGAUUUGAGGGUCCUGGUGUACAAAGAAAAGACAACACUUCAAUGAUUUCUGAAGCACUCAAAUGCACAAUCUAGCUAUAAGUUGUGAUUGUGUCAUGCUUUAGAAAUACUUUCUUUCAAAAACACAAUAUCAAUUACAUCAAUUUCAGAUUACAUGUUACUGAUAGCGCCCUGGCUAAUUCAUAACAAGUAGAGGAUAUGGGUUGUGCGAUUCCUUGCAAUUGAAUACAAUUUCGAACACCAUAGGACCGAUUAAUUGAUACAGACCCUGCUAGUCUUAAGACCAAUACUGUUUAUCAAUUUGAGAUUAUGGUAGAAAACGACAAAAUUCAAAUAACGUUAAAAAAUAAAAGUAAACAUAAGAAACCGGAUGAAGGAUUUUGGAGCUCUUUUAUAUCAGCCAGUGUAAUCCAUUGGUCCAUAAGGUUCAAACCACUCAGCCCAAAACCCCUUUUUCCUCUUAGGGUUCCAUCCCAUGUCCUUGCAUAACUGGUCAUUGUGCCAAACAUGCAACGCAGCAAUACACGAUCCUCUAUAGUACUUGUUGUAAGAAUAUCUUUUCUUGUAUUUAUCCCAUUCUGCUAUGUCUUUCUCCAUCAUCUUUACGCUAGGUAGCUUGAAUUUUCCAUCAAGAAGCUCUGCCAGCCACCGGCACCUUAUUUCCGAUGUGUAUAGAUUGGUUGUACUUUCUGAGAAUCCAAUUAUUGCCAGUUGUGGAAUUCCGGGAUGGAUACAUUCCCUGAUAAAUUAUGAGUUUUAAUAAUUUCACAUGACAAGUACAGUUCUACAAAGGAAAAAAAAAAAGAUGUACGGUUCUGGUGUAUGCUUGCAAAAGUAUUCUUUUAUUACUCACCUAUAGAGGGGAACUGCAGCAGAAUCAUCUAAGCCUGCAAUGAAUUCUUGAUAUUUUGGUGAUUCAAAAAUGUGUUUGAGCUUAUCAAUUCCCCUGAAGCCGGUAGCGAGUAUGACUAAGUCGGAUUUUAUUGGUUCAGCUUGACCCUUGAGCAAGAUACCUUCUUUACAGAAUCCAACAAUCUCUACUUUCUUGAUGAGCUUGAUACUUCUUUGCUCAACUCUAUCGUAGAAGCCAUCCGGCAGUACAGAAAGUGAACAUGAACUCAAAUCGUUUAAGAAGCUGUGCUCUGGCACCAUUCCAUGUUGUGCAAGCCUGUUUUUGCGUUUUAUAUAACUUUCUACAAAUUUUGAGAAGGCCCAUCUCUGUAAAUUAAUAUGCAUGUUAGUUUUGUGAGAGGAAGAGUAAAACUCCGACAAGGUAGCAAUAUGAACAUUUAUUACUGCUUUGGGAUGGAUGGGAAUACCUUGAGAAAAGACAGUAGUAGUUAUUACUUUAUUAGAACGUGUCGCUUUUUGUUAUUUUAGCAGUAAUAUUUGUAUUUAUUUUUCUCACUUAUCUCAGAAGAGAGACAUUUUAAUUUAGGAUGAACGAGAUCGAAGUAAGUCAUACGUUGCUGGGUCUUAAAAUUAUUACUUAGUAAAGAAAAGCAAUUACCAAUGGUGAAAGAGUUGUGGCAAGGAGACUUAGAAGAAGGCCUUCACCAGGUUUAUGCACCAUAAGUUCGGAGAAUCGAUUCGUGUAGAGAUAUCCCAAAUGUAAUCCCCAUGGGGAAAAAUCGGGAAGGUUCCAGUGCGGGGUCCUGACAACUACCGUGCAUGGACGUUCAAUCCCU